This 102-nucleotide ribosomal RNA is filed under the name Amnibacterium flavum. RNAcentral's name for it is "Amnibacterium sp. M8JJ-5 partial 23S ribosomal RNA". It matches the Rfam family "Bacterial large subunit ribosomal RNA", at positions 2830 to 2925 of the family's 2925-position model. The record is from RNAcentral. Lineage: Bacteria; Bacillati; Actinomycetota; Actinomycetes; Micrococcales; Microbacteriaceae.
GAGGCUCCCAGUAGACGACUGGGUUGAUAGGCCGGAUGUGGAAGCAGGGACUAAAGACCUGUGCAGCUGACCGGUACUAAUAAGCCGAUAAAUUGACAACAC